GGUUAAGCGACUAAGCGUACACGGUGGAUGCCCUGGCAGUCAGAGGCGAUGAAGGGCGUGCUAAUCUGCGAUAAGCGCCGGUAAGGUGAUAUGAACCGUUAUAACCGGCGAUACCCGAAUGGGGAAACCCAGUGUGAUUCGUCACACUAUCAUUAACUGAAUCCAUAGGUUAAUGAGGCGAACCGGGGGAACUGAAACAUCUAAGUACCCCGAGGAAAAGAAAUCAACCGAGAUUCCCCCAGUAGCGGCGAGCGAACGGGGAGGAGCCCAGAGCCUGAAUCAGCAUGUGUGUUAGUGGAAGCGUCUGGAAAGGUGCGCGAUACAGGGUGACAGCCCCGUACACAAAAGCGCAUGUGCUGUGAGCUCGAUGAGUAGGGCGGGACACGUGGUAUCCUGUCUGAAUAUGGGGGGACCAUCCUCCAAGGCUAAAUACUCCUGACUGACCGAUAGUGAACCAGUACCGUGAGGGAAAGGCGAAAAGAACCCCGGCGAGGGGAGUGAAAAAGAACCUGAAACCGUGUACGUACAAGCAGUGGGAGCACAGGUUUACCUGUGUGACUGCGUACCUUUUGUAUAAUGGGUCAGCGACUUAUAUUCUGUAGCAAGGUUAACCGUAUAGGGGAGCCGUAGGGAAACCGAGUCUUAACCGGGCGUUAAGUUGCAGGGUAUAGACCCGAAACCCGGUGAUCUAGCCAUGGGCAGGUUGAAGGUUGGGUAACACUAACUGGAGGACCGAACCGACUAAUGUUGAAAAAUUAGCGGAUGACCUGUGGCUGGGGGUGAAAGGCCAAUCAAACCGGGAGAUAGCUGGUUCUCCCCGAAAGCUAUUUAGGUAGCGCCUCGUGAAUUCAUCUCCGGGGGUAGAGCACUGUUUCGGCUAGGGGGCCAUCCCGGCUUACCAACCCGAUGCAAACUGCGAAUACCGGAGAAUGUUAUCACGGGAGACACACGGCGGGUGCUAACGUCCGUCGUGAAGAGGGAAACAACCCAGACCGCCAGCUAAGGUCCCAAAGUCAUAGUUAAGUGGGAAACGAUGUGGGAAGGCCCAGACAGCCAGGAUGUUGGCUUAGAAGCAGCCAUCAUUUAAAGAAAGCGUAAUAGCUCACUGGUCGAGUCGGCCUGCGCGGAAGAUGUAACGGGGCUAAACCAUGCACCGAAGCUGCGGCAGCGAACGUAUCACCCAAGACAACUUUACGGAGUUGACGAUUGACGGAGCGAAGCGACGUCAAAGCGUUCAUUAAAGUCGAGUUGGCUUAGGGAUACGUUCGUUGGGUAGGGGAGCGUUCUGUAAGCCUGUGAAGGUGUGUCGUGAGGCAUGCUGGAGGUAUCAGAAGUGCGAAUGCUGACAUAAGUAACGAUAAAGCGGGUGAAAAGCCCGCUCGCCGGAAGACCAAGGGUUCCUGUCCAACGUUAAUCGGGGCAGGGUGAGUCGACCCCUAAGGCGAGGCCGAAAGGCGUAGUCGAUGGGAAACGGGUUAAUAUUCCCGUACUUGGUGUUACUGCGAAGGGGGGACGGAGAAGGCUAUGUUGGCCGGGCGACGGUUGUCCCGGUUUAAGCGUGUAGGUGUGUGUUCCAGGUAAAUCCGGUUCACUUUAACACUGAGGCGUGACGACGAGGCACUACGGUGCUGAAGCAACAAAUGCCCUGCUUCCAGGAAAAGCCUCUAAGCAUCAGGUAACACGAAAUCGUACCCCAAACCGACACAGGUGGUCAGGUAGAGAAUACCAAGGCGCUUGAGAGAACUCGGGUGAAGGAACUAGGCAAAAUGGUGCCGUAACUUCGGGAGAAGGCACGCUGACACGUAGGUGAAGUGAUUUACUCAUGGAGCUGAAGUCAGUCGAAGAUACCAGCUGGCUGCAACUGUUUAUUAAAAACACAGCACUGUGCAAACACGAAAGUGGACGUAUACGGUGUGACGCCUGCCCGGUGCCGGAAGGUUAAUUGAUGGGGUCAGCGCAAGCGAAGCUCCUGAUCGAAGCCCCGGUAAACGGCGGCCGUAACUAUAACGGUCCUAAGGUAGCGAAAUUCCUUGUCGGGUAAGUUCCGACCUGCACGAAUGGCGUAAUGAUGGCCAGGCUGUCUCCACCCGAGACUCAGUGAAAUUGAACUCGCUGUGAAGAUGCAGUGUACCCGCGGCAAGACGGAAAGACCCCGUGAACCUUUACUAUAGCUUGACACUGAACAUUGAGCCUUGAUGUGUAGGAUAGGUGGGAGGCUUUGAAGUGUGGACGCCAGUCUGCAUGGAGCCGACCUUGAAAUACCACCCUUUAAUGUUUGAUGUUCUAACGUGGACCCGUAAUCCGGGUUGCGGACAGUGUCUGGUGGGUAGUUUGACUGGGGCGGUCUCCUCCUAAAGAGUAACGGAGGAGCACGAAGGUUGGCUAAUCCUGGUCGGACAUCAGGAGGUUAGUGCAAUGGCAUAAGCCAGCUUGACUGCGAGCGUGACGGCGCGAGCAGGUGCGAAAGCAGGUCAUAGUGAUCCGGUGGUUCUGAAUGGAAGGGCCAUCGCUCAACGGAUAAAAGGUACUCCGGGGAUAACAGGCUGAUACCGCCCAAGAGUUCAUAUCGACGGCGGUGUUUGGCACCUCGAUGUCGGCUCAUCACAUCCUGGGGCUGAAGUAGGUCCCAAGGGUAUGGCUGUUCGCCAUUUAAAGUGGUACGCGAGCUGGGUUUAGAACGUCGUGAGACAGUUCGGUCCCUAUCUGCCGUGGGCGCUGGAGAACUGAGGGGGGCUGCUCCUAGUACGAGAGGACCGGAGUGGACGCAUCACUGGUGUUCGGGUUGUCAUGCCAAUGGCACUGCCCGGUAGCUAAAUGCGGAAGAGAUAAGUGCUGAAAGCAUCUAAGCACGAAACUUGCCCCGAGAUGAGUUCUCCCUGAGACUUAGAGUCUCCUGAAGGAACGUUGAAGACGACGACGUUGAUAGGCCGGGUGUGUAAGCGCAGCGAUGCGUUGAGCUAACCGGUACUAAUGAACCGUGAGGCUUAACCUU
This 2992-nucleotide ribosomal RNA is filed under the name Salmonella enterica subsp. enterica serovar Typhimurium. RNAcentral describes it as "23S ribosomal RNA". It matches the Rfam family "Bacterial large subunit ribosomal RNA". The record is from RNAcentral. Lineage: Bacteria; Pseudomonadati; Pseudomonadota; Gammaproteobacteria; Enterobacterales; Enterobacteriaceae.